GACGAACGCUGGCGGCGUGCUUAACACAUGCAAGUCGAGCGGUAAGGCCCUUUCGGGGGUACGACGAGCGGCGAACGGGUGAGUAACACGUGGGUGACCUGCCCUCGGCUCUGGGAUAAGCCUGGGAAACCGGGUCUAAUACUGGAUAUGACUCCAUGACGCAUGUUGUGGGGUGGAAAGCCUUGUGCGGCUGAGGAUGGGCCCGCGGCCUAUCAGCUUGUUGGUGGGGUGAUGGCCUACCAAGGCGACGACGGGUAGCCGGCCUGAGAGGGCGACCGGCCACACUGGGACUGAGACACGGCCCAGACUCCUACGGGAGGCAGCAGUGGGGAAUCUUGCGCAAUGGGCGAAAGCCUGACGCAGCGACGCCGCGUGAGGGAUGACG
Molecule: ribosomal RNA, 385 nt
Filed under: uncultured bacterium
Lineage: Bacteria
Description: bacterial SSU rRNA
Rfam family: Bacterial small subunit ribosomal RNA
Source: RNAcentral